RNAcentral lists this ribosomal RNA (222 nucleotides) under uncultured bacterium. RNAcentral describes it as "partial 16S ribosomal RNA". It matches the Rfam family "Bacterial small subunit ribosomal RNA", at positions 329 to 539 of the family's 1533-position model. The record is from RNAcentral.
ACGCUGACACCUACGUGAGGCAGCAGUAGGGAAUCUUCCACAAUGGACGCAAGUCUGAUGGAGCAACGCCGCGUGAGUGAAGAAGGUCUUCGGAUCGUAAAACUCUGUUGUUAGAGAAGAACACGAGUGAGAGUAACUGUUCAUUCGAUGACGGUAUCUAACCAGCAAGUCACGGCUAACUACGUGCCUGCAGCCGCGGUAAUCUGAGCGGGCUGGCAAGGC